Long non-coding RNA from Thalassophryne amazonica, 153 nucleotides. RefSeq lists it as uncharacterized. The transcript is spliced from 3 exons. NCBI's taxonomy places the organism in Eukaryota, Metazoa, Chordata, Actinopteri, Batrachoidiformes, Batrachoididae. The record is from RefSeq and is a predicted model, not a curated record.
UUUUGCAUGCUUCCAAUCAGAUCAUUUCAGCAGUGUCUGUUCCUCUUCUCUCCAGUUGUGGAUAAGACUCACAUGGGAACAGAAGCUGCUGGCAGAUGAAGAUAGAUUUCGUCCAGCUUGUAAAAAGUUGGAUAAACCAUUGCCUGCAUCUUC